RNAcentral lists this ribosomal RNA (253 nucleotides) under uncultured bacterium. RNAcentral's name for it is "partial 16S ribosomal RNA". It matches the Rfam family "Bacterial small subunit ribosomal RNA", at positions 524 to 776 of the family's 1533-position model. The record is from RNAcentral.
AACGUAGGAGACAAACGUUAUCCGGAGUUACUGGGCGUAAAGGGCGUGCAGGCGGUCUGUUAAGUUCGGCGUGAAAGCUCCCGGCUAAACCGGGAUAGGUCGUCGGAUACUGGCAGACUAGAGGACAGUAGAGGCGGGUGGAAUUCCGGGUGUAGUGGUGAAAUGCGUAGAGAUCCGGAGGAACACCAGUGGCGAAGGCGACCCGCUGGGCUGUACCUGACGCUAAGACGCGACAGCAUGGGGAGCGAACGGG